UCUUCCGUAGUAUAGUGGUCAGUAUAUGAGCUUGUCAUCGCAAGGUCGACUUCGCUCGGGACCCGGGUUCAAUUCCCGGCGGGAGAG
Molecule: non-coding RNA, 87 nt
Organism: Podospora appendiculata
Lineage: Eukaryota; Fungi; Ascomycota; Sordariomycetes; Sordariales; Podosporaceae
Source: the annotation of a GenBank genome assembly